This 631-nucleotide long non-coding RNA is filed under the name Lynx pardinus (Iberian lynx). The record is from RNAcentral. Lineage: Eukaryota; Metazoa; Chordata; Mammalia; Carnivora; Felidae.
AAAUUCCUGGGAGACCAGCGGUUCAGCUACGGACAGCCCAUCACACUGACCUUCUGGGUCCCCCCCGGGGGCUCCCCACUCCCCGUGCGGCUGAGGCUGGAAGGGGCGGGCCUGGCCCUGACUCUACGACCCUCCAGCCUGUCGGGCCCCCGGGAUGCUGGGCAGCCGGGGGAGGCCCAGCUCACGUUCCAGUAAGUGCCUUGCGGAGUCCUGGGAGGUGGGGUCGGGCGUUCGGGGUGGUCCCUGAGGUCUGGGCACACUCGGAUCCUCCUGCGGUCUGGGGCCUUCCCCGCUCUCCACCCCAAGCUGGGGGCUCCUUGGUACCACCUGCCCCCGGCCUCAGGUUCCCGUUUGUCCCCCACCCCUACCAGGUUGCAGGAGACCUCUGAGGACGCGGCCCCUCCGCUGCCCCCCUUCCGCUUCCAGCAGCUGCUCGCCAAUCUGACGGCUCUGCGCAUCCGGGCCGGCGGCCAGAGCACAAGCCCUUCCGGUCAGUAAUGAUGGGGACGGCCCUCCUCACCCGCCGGGCCCCGGGGCACCCUCAUGCCUAGCAGACACUUAGCAUCCCCGUUUUGCCACAGAGACGUCUGAAGGUCAGAGAAGUAGGACACUGGCUGAAGGUCAUGGAACU